RNAcentral lists this ribosomal RNA (497 nucleotides) under uncultured bacterium. RNAcentral describes it as "partial 16S ribosomal RNA". It matches the Rfam family "Bacterial small subunit ribosomal RNA", at positions 28 to 507 of the family's 1533-position model. The record is from RNAcentral.
GAUGAACGCUGGCGGCGUGCCUAAUACAUGCAAGUAGAACGCUGAAGGAAGGAGCUUACUCUUUCCGGAUGAGUUGCGAACGGGUGAGUAACGCGUAGGUAACCUGCCUGGUAGCGGGGGAUAACUAUUGGAAACGAUAGCUAAUACCGCAUAACAGUAGAUGUUGCAUGAUAUCUACUUAAAAGGUGCAAUUGCACCACUACCAGAUGGACCUGCGUUGUAUUAGCUAGUUGGUGAGGUAACGGCUCACCAAGGCGACGAUACAUAGCCGACCUGAGAGGGUGAUCGGCCACACUGGGACUGAGACACGGCCCAGACUCCUACGGGAGGCAGCAGUAGGGAAUCUUCGGCAAUGGACGGAAGUCUGACCGAGCAACGCCGCGUGAGUGAAGAAGGUUUUCGGAUCGUAAAGCUCUGUUGUAAGAGAAGAACGAGUGUGAGAGUGGAAAGUUCACACUGUGACGGUAUCUUACCGGAAAGGGACGGCUAACUACGUG